RNAcentral lists this ribosomal RNA (492 nucleotides) under uncultured bacterium. Its description in RNAcentral is "partial 16S ribosomal RNA". It matches the Rfam family "Bacterial small subunit ribosomal RNA", at positions 28 to 507 of the family's 1533-position model. The record is from RNAcentral.
GAUGAACGCUAGCUACAGGCUUAACACAUGCAAGUCGAGGGGAAACGACAUCGAAAGCUUGCUUUUGAUGGGCGUCGACCGGCGCACGGGUGAGUAACGCGUAUCCAACCUGCCCACCACUUGGGGAUAACCUUGCGAAAGUAAGACUAAUACCCAAUGACGUCUCUAGAAGACAUCUGAAAGAGAUUAAAGAUUUAUCGGUGAUGGAUGGGGAUGCGUCUGAUUAGCUUGGUGGCGGGGUAACGGCCCACCAAGGCGACGAUCAGUAGGGGUUCUGAGAGGAAGGUCCCCCACAUUGGAACUGAGACACGGUCCAAACUCCUACGGGAGGCAGCAGUGAGGCCUCUUGGUCCCUGGCCGCGAGUCUGCCCCCGCCAAGUAGCGUGCAGGAUGACGGCCCUAUGGGUUGUAAACUGCUUUUAUAAGGGAAUAAAGUGAGUCUCGUGAGCCUUUUUGCCUGUACCUUCUGCAUCAGGCCCGGCUCCUUCCGUG